This is a non-coding RNA of Pelobates cultripes (western spadefoot toad), 222 nucleotides long. NCBI's taxonomy places the organism in Eukaryota, Metazoa, Chordata, Amphibia, Anura, Pelobatidae. The record is from the annotation of a GenBank genome assembly.
GUCUCUUGCUCAAUGAACAGUCUCACAGAGUCUCUCACUAGAUGAGCGGUCUCACAGAGUCUCUCUCCGUAUGAGCUGUCUCACAGGGUCUCUCACUGAAUGAACAGUCUCACAAGGUCUCUCACUAGAUGAGCUGUCUCAUAGGGUCUCUCACUGAAGGAACAGUCUCACAGGGUCUUUCCCUAGAUGAGCUGUCUCACAGGGUUUCUCACUAGAAGAGCU